UUUGGUUAUGGCAUGAGGACAUCGUUCCACGUUGGAGUAUUGCUUGCUCAAAUUGGAGAACUUGCUUUUGUUCUCCUAAGCCGUGCCUCAAAUCUUCAUCUUGUUGAGGGAAAGAUGUAUCUUCUUCUUCUUGGAACAACAGCUCUUAGUCUGGUAACAACUCCUCUUUUAUUCAAAUUGAUACCUAAUGUCAUGAAUUUGGGGGUUCUAUUGCAAUGGUUUCCAUCAGAAAGCAGCAUGCAGAAUGAGGAUAGAGCUUCCAUGAUUGAAACGCAUAACAGAUUGUUGUGACCUCGCAUGUUUUACAAUCUGGACAUAUGAGGGGGUAAAGUUAAAGGCCUCAGUAAUUUGUAAAUAUAUGGGUUUCUCCUCGCUGCCAAGUCCAUGGUCGAGAUUUCAGAUGGCACGUCAGAAUUUCAGUUCCAUUAACAAUUUAGCCCAAAGUUCGCAUUCAUAUACAUAUAAUCUUCAUAUUCUUUGAAUAGUGUGUAUAUAUAUGUAUUUUUUUUUUAGCCCACUUAGCUGUAUUUU
Molecule: unclassified non-coding RNA, 531 nt
Filed under: Hevea brasiliensis (rubber tree)
Lineage: Eukaryota; Viridiplantae; Streptophyta; Magnoliopsida; Malpighiales; Euphorbiaceae
Source: RNAcentral